GACCAACGCUGGCGGCGUGCUUAACACAUGCAAGUCGAACGGAAAGGCCCCUUUGGGGGUACUCGAGUGGCGCACGGGUGAGUAACACGUGAGUAACCUGCCCUUGACUUCGGGAUAACUUCAGGAAACUGGGGCUAAUACCGGAUAGGAAUCCUUGCUGCAUGGUGGGGGUUGGAAAGCUUCGGCGGUUUUGGAUGGACUCGCGGCUUAUCAGCUUGUUGGUGGGGUAGUGGCUUACCAAGGCUUUGACGGGUAGCCGGCCUGAGAGGGCGACCGGCCACAUUGGGACUGAGAUACGGCCCAGACUCCUACGGGAGGCAGCAGUGGGGAAUAUUGCACAAUGGGCGGAAGCCUGAUGCAGCAACGCCGCGUGCGGGAGGACGGCCUUCGGGUUGUAAACCGCUUUCAGCAGGGGCGAAGCUUGUGGUGACGGUACCUGCAGAAGAAGCACCGGCUAACUACGUG
RNAcentral lists this ribosomal RNA (465 nucleotides) under uncultured bacterium. RNAcentral describes it as "partial 16S ribosomal RNA". It matches the Rfam family "Bacterial small subunit ribosomal RNA", at positions 28 to 507 of the family's 1533-position model. The record is from RNAcentral.